GUCAGAGUUUGAUCCUGGCUCAGAACGAACGCUGGCGGCGUGUUUAAGACAUGCAAGUCGAACGGGAUGAAGUUGUAGCAAUACCGCUUCAUUCAGUGGCGCACGGGUGCGUAACACGUGAGUUACAUGCCCUGCAGUGGGGAAUAGCCCGCCGAAAGGCGGAUUAAUACCCCAUGGUCCCGCAAGGGUAAAGGUGGCGUAAGCUGCCGCUGCAGGAUUGGCUCGCGGCCUAUCAGCUUGUUGGUGAGGUAACGGCUCACCAAGGCUACGACGGGUACCUGGUCUGAGAGGAUGAUCAGGCACACUGGAACUGAGACACGGUCCAGACACCGUACGGGU
This 339-nucleotide ribosomal RNA is filed under the name uncultured Haloferula sp. RNAcentral's name for it is "bacterial SSU rRNA". It matches the Rfam family "Bacterial small subunit ribosomal RNA", at positions 1 to 346 of the family's 1533-position model. The record is from RNAcentral. Lineage: Bacteria; Pseudomonadati; Verrucomicrobiota; Verrucomicrobiia; Verrucomicrobiales; Verrucomicrobiaceae.